Non-coding RNA from Drosophila melanogaster (fruit fly), 1154 nucleotides. Lineage: Eukaryota; Metazoa; Arthropoda; Insecta; Diptera; Drosophilidae. The record is from Ensembl.
AGCACGAAAACCGAAUAAAUCUCGAGCUGACGAAUUUCGCGCUGUGACUCCCUCUUAUGAUACUUAACUCAAAUUUGCAAGUGUCCCAAAAAAAAAAAAAAAAAGAGUCUCAUAUGCAUUCCUCUCCUAAUUAGUGAACUUUGAUCAUCGCCAUGGGAACUUUACUCGAAACUGAUUGGCAUUUGAGCCCUGAUCUUGUUUGUAGCAACGGAAAACGCCCCCACCUGGCAAACUAAUCAACUCAGCUUGAGGUGCAACUGCAUGCUGCAACUGGCCCAGCCUGUUAGCCAAGUUAACCAAGUUCAGGAGCCAAUGGCCAUAUGAAUGGCAAUCGGCUGGCAGUCUAUGCGGGGCAAUCAAGUGAGAAAAUUAAAAUUACAUGACCAUGGUUUCGACUGCGGAUGCAGGGAUCCCACAUUUAAAGGUUCAUAACUUCCAAGUCAAUUACGCGAUGCGCCCGCUGCGAGAAUCUCGCCUGAGAAUGUAUACUCGAUUCUGGGAUUCCUGGGAUGUGAAUUAGAAAAAUUGCACGCUCAAGUGGAAGAGAGGACCUCUGGUCUGGUUUUGGUCCAGCCUGGUCUGUUCUGUUCUGUUCUGUUCGGUUCUUUCUGACUGACUGACUGACAUAACUCACGAGUGGCAGCAGACGCAGCAGCAGACGCAGAUACUGAUGCAAACAAACACAGAUACGGCCUCCGCAUUUAACCGCUGCUCCGUUGCAGGUGAACUAGACAAGCAGGAGCAGAUCCUCAAGAGCACUCCACAAAUAAAAGGGACUACUGUGGGAAUCAUGCCGAUCUGGCCAGAACCAAACAUAACCCAACAGGCUCGCCAUCAGCGAAUUAAUUUGUGACGCGCGCUCUCCAAGAAGCUCCACCGAUGCUCCCUUCUGGUCCAAAAUACACAGGGAUCCACAUUGCACAGCCUAUACCCAGACCCAUCUUCAUAUUCAGCCAACCCAGUCCAGUUCCAGAUUGCCAGUUUGCAGUCGAGGAGCCAUGGCCUGGAGGCAAUUUACUCUCUUCGCUCGGCGGUGCACGCUGUGGUAGCCAAACUCGUGACUGCAACAAUGCACAGUGGUCUGUGCUUAAUAUAAUAUGGCUUGAAAUCUAAGUAAGAAAAUAAAAUGGUCUAUAAUAUAAGACAGCCACACC